AUUGAACGCUGGCGGCAGGCCUAACACAUGCAAGUCGAACGAGUGGCGGACGGGUGAGUAAUGUCUGGGAAACUGCCUGAUGGAGGGGGAUAACUACUGGAAACGGUAGCUAAUACCGCAUACUAUCAGCUGUGCCCAGAUGGGAUUAGCUUGUUGGUGGGGUACCGGCUCACCAAGGCGACGAUCCCUAGCUGGUUUGAGAGGAUGACCAGCCACACUGGAACUGAGACACGGUCCAGACUCCUACGGGAGGCAGCAGUGGGGAAUAUUGGACAAUGGGCGAAAGCCUGAUGCAGCCAUGCCGCGUGUAUGAGGAAGGCCUUCGGGUUGUAAAGUACUUUCGGCAGGGAGGCGUUACCCGCAGAAGAAGCACCGGCUAACUACGUGCCAGCAGCCGCGGUAAUAC
Molecule: ribosomal RNA, 406 nt
Filed under: uncultured bacterium
Lineage: Bacteria
Description: partial 16S ribosomal RNA
Rfam family: Bacterial small subunit ribosomal RNA
Source: RNAcentral